This 231-nucleotide ribosomal RNA is filed under the name uncultured Staphylococcus sp. RNAcentral describes it as "partial 16S ribosomal RNA". It matches the Rfam family "Bacterial small subunit ribosomal RNA", at positions 109 to 334 of the family's 1533-position model. The record is from RNAcentral. Lineage: Bacteria; Bacillati; Bacillota; Bacilli; Caryophanales; Staphylococcaceae.
AGUAACACGUGGAUAACCUACCUAUAAGACUGGGAUAACUUCGGGAAACCGGAGCUAAUACCGGAUAAUAUUUUGAACCGCAUGGUUCAAAAGUGAAAGACGGUCUUGCUGUCACUUAUAUAUGGAUCCGCGCUGCAUUAGCUAGUUGGUAAGGUAACGGCUUACCAAGGCAACGAUGCAUAGCCGACCUGAGAGGGUGAUCGGCCACACUGGAACUGAGACACGGUCCAG